AGUAGCUCAGACAAUUGACUUUGCAAAAUUUUGCACAAUAAGCAAAAUGGAGAAAUACAAUCGGCCGACUUUGGACGCCGAACUUCCCAAGCCCUCUUCCGACGCGGACGAGUUUAUCAGUCCCCCUCUGGUUAACCCCAAUAUGGUGGCAAUAUCGAUCUGUGACCUGUGGAUGCGGGACAACGUAUGAAUUCGAGGCGUCACACGGGGACGGGGCUGCUGUUUGUUACUUCAAGUGUGACGAUUGUGGUGAUCAGGGCCACUUUCAACUUCCGCCAAGUGAUGGAGCUUUUCAAGCUCGCCUCUGACAAAUUCCACAUUCUCGUAUGAAUCUGGGUUCCCCUUCUAUCCUUCCAUGCAGCUACUUUAUUUUUUUUCCUUCCCUAAAUCAGGAUUUGGUUUCAUGUAAGGGUGCCAAACACCACUAUAUGAGUUUUUAUAUUACUUCAUCACUCUUCUCUUAUGGCAUUAUGUCUUUCCUAGUUUGGAUGUGUUUUCUUAAUGGCUGGAAAUGGAAUAUGUCUACAUAGUUUUUUUUUUUUUUGUUUAUUGUGUUCAAAAAAUGUUUUUAGCAAUUUUUAAGAUUUACCAAACAAUGUUGGCUGCCUAAAGUUCAUUUUAGCAAUCAUUGUAGAUAUGAUGGUGUCAUCAUCCUAAUUUUACAUUUGAUAGUGCACAAUGUGUGUAUAUAUAUAUAUAUAUAGCAUUUUCCUAGAGAAAAGAACCGCCAUAGGCUA
Long non-coding RNA from Cornus florida, 737 nucleotides. RefSeq lists it as uncharacterized. NCBI's taxonomy places the organism in Eukaryota, Viridiplantae, Streptophyta, Magnoliopsida, Cornales, Cornaceae. The transcript is spliced from 3 exons. The record is from RefSeq and is a predicted model, not a curated record.